GGUCACCUGGGUUGGGUGGAUGCACCUAACAGAUUUUGAGCGCCACACGAGUGGACGCCGGUUUUUUUUUUUUUUUUCUUUUCUUUUCCCUUUGCAUCUGUUUUGCUUUCGCUUCGCUAAUACAGCCCGACAGGCUUUUGAUAGAGCUCGAUCGGAAUGCUCAGAGGAGCCCGGAGCCACUGCCGAUUGUGGGUCUCCGGAGGACCCUCAGGGCUCUAAUUCUGAUUCGGAUUCGGAAGGCUCAGAAGAGGAGGUCGUCUUUGCUAAGCAUGACCCUCCUACACCGUUAAAAGAGGAACUUAGGGCUCGGGAAGAUAAAAAGGGGAACCAAACACCACCCUGCCCGAGCUACUCCGCCUUACGGGAGGAGCUUAAGCCCUUCCGCUCCUUGGCAAGUUCACGGUCCUUCCACCGGAGGGUAUGGUCGCGGCUUCCUUUUGAGUGUUCCGGUCUCCAUGCAUUCCCGGUAGCCCUUAGAAAUUAAACAACUUAAAACUAUCAAGGACGCAGUUUCAGCUUAUGGGCCCAAUGCGCCAUUUACCAUGGCGCUUUUAGAGGCAUUGGCAGGUCUGCUUUUAACUCCUGGAGAUUGGACCCAGCUGGCACGCGCCUGCCUCUCCCCCGGACAAUAUUUAGAUUGGAAGUCCUGGAAUGAGGAAUUCUGUGUAGAGCAGGCGGCAGCCAACAGGGAAAAUAACCAGAGAGAGUGGAACAGGGAUAUGCUAUUAGGGCGAGGAGCCUUUGAGGAAGAUCAAACUCAAUACCCUCGCCAGGUUUAUGAACAAAUUAGCCGCUGUGGCCUCCAGGCCUGGAGACGGCUGGCUGGAAAGGGAGAACAUACGGGUCACCUUACAAAAAUUAUACAAGGGCAGGGAGAGCCAUUUUCAGACUUUGUGGCCCGCAUGCUUGAGGCCGCUAACAGGAUUUUUCCAGAUGCUGAGGCGGCUCACCCUCUCAUAAAACAAUUGAUUUUUGAACAGUGCACUAAGGAGUGCCGUGAUGUCCUAAGAACUAACAAAAAUAGGUCCUUAGAAGAGUGGACAUGCCUGUGCCGUGAAUUGGGUGGCCACGGCCUAACGCCCAAAGGAAGAAUAUCAUUGGCGCUCUUUACCAUAAAUUUUUUAAACCUUAAUCAUAAAAAUCAUUCCCCUGCCAUGGAACAUAGCAAUCCGUCCCCAACCGACAAAGGGCUGGUGAGAUGGAAAGAUGUCCUUACAGGACAAUGGAUGGGCCCGGAUCCAGUGGUUAGUUGGACCUGAGGUGCGGUUUGUGUCUUCCCACAGGAACCAGGCUGCGAACCGCUGUGGGUCCCGGAAAGAUUGACGCGAGCAGUAAACUCCCCACCAGUUCCUGAUAAAGCACAGGAAGAUAAGCCCGCGGACACAAGUCAACUCGACCCUUCUGGGACCGACGCUCAGCGCCCGAGACCAUCUACAAACUAAAAUGUCUGGUUUGGAGCUUUUUCUAUUCUGUGGGUUCCUAUUAAUCACCCCUGUUCGCACAAAUUUGACCAACACUGUUAAAAAUAGCCAGUUUGUGGGAACGCGUCACCUCCUGGUUCUCCUGGCCCAACCUGACUACUUGGAUCCUGAUUGCCAUGGCCAUCCUAGUGGGGCUUGUGGUUAUUAAAUGCUUGUUAGAUCGCCUCAUACAAACUCAGCAGCAGGUUAAGAUCACAGCUAUGGCAGCCAUGCAAAUGGCAGCAGGUGACCCAUCAGGCCAGCAGGCCGCCGCAUAUCUCCUUCACAUUGCAGAACAUCAGCUAUAAGAGCUGAGUGGGCAAGCCAAUGACGGGUAAGACGGGAAAAGCCCUCCCAGUCAACCUAAGACAGGCUCCACUCAGAUAUAUAUGGCCUAUAAGGCCAGGGGUCCCUCCCGGAGUCAAAUUAUUGGCAUUGAGAUGCGAGACCAAGGGUACUGCAGUGCCAUCCGCCUCAAAGGUUGGGGGGAAGGCAGGAAUGAAUGUCUAUAUGCAUCCAGGUUCGGUUCACAAAAGCCUGGCCCUGCGAAAAAAUGAACCACUCACCUUGAGCAUGGUCCUGGUGCAAGGAUAUGCACAAAACAGGGUGAUGCACAGCAGGGUAUAGACCUCUACAUUCUCUCAUGCCUCGGCCUACAAGGUAGGCCCACUCCUAGGUGUCUAACAGCAACAAGGUCAUAGACACCUUGGAGGGACCUACAGACCAUCCUAUUUUAAUAAAUAAAAAAGGGGGAGAUGUGGGAAGCCGCCUAUGAUGGCGCCCAUUUCCUGCUUCCGGGUUCUUCCCGGCCUGAACAAGCCCGCCAAAUUGUCAGGUCUGCCCAGUUACCCGUGACGCUAGCCUAUCGGCUUGUUAGGCGCGCUUCUCUGUGAUUGGAUACUGCUUCCCCUUAUAAGAGGUUGUUCCUGCCCCCAACGGCGGAAGAGGAACCAACGUUGAGGGUGGCGGACCUUGUCAGGUCCGGUUCGCUGUACGUAAUAAAGUUUGAGAGCUGAUCCUGCUCGAGUUUGGUCUCCUGUCUCCCGCGGCUCCGGUCAGAGGUGACUGGAUGUGAGGUCCUGCCACUGACCAGGGAGGGCCCUUUGCUAACCUGGACUUUACUCGCAAAUGCACAAGUGGACCAGGGAGAAGGUCUGGGAGUCUGACCAAAGUCCGGACAAGCAAAGGACUCUGCCAAUACUGACAGUGCCAAACCCUCACCCUGAACCUUAAACCCUGACUAGCACCAAGGGUACGCAGCUCGGUCCUUUCACCGCCUCACUGGUGACAAGCCUUGGUGCUUUCUUAGAGGACUGGUGUUUGGAAGUAAUCCAAAGUGAUUCAGAACCAACUUCUGUGAAUUAAGAAAAUGCAGCUGAUUUCCCCGAUGUGCACGCUGUGUGGUUCUGACUGCAGUUUCAAGAGACGAAAUCCAAAAACUGUUCUAAGUGAGGCCCCAGAAGAGCCUCCUGCGUGGAUGAAUCAGGGCAGUAGCUUCGUGAAUCGUAGACAGCUUUCCAGUCAGCUUUCUCGUACCUUUUUCACAGCACUCACGAAUUCCAGGUCAUUCUGAAACAAGUGCCACAGAGUUCUGUGAAGACGACAGCUGCCGCUGCGUUUGUGUUUGAAGAGGUUGCUAUGGCUUACAGUGGUUGCAUUCGCUACCUUUACAACACUGUGACAAAAUGCCCCUCAGAAUCAACUUAAAAGGAAGAAAGGUUGAUUUGGGGUCCGGUUUCAGGGCUUUCACCCCACAGUCACUGCACCCUGGUGCAUCAUGAGCCCCAGCAGUGCACUGUGGUGGGGAGGAUGUGGCAGGAGGAGCUGCUCAGCACAGGACACCAGGAAGACGGAAAAGAAAGCCCGAAAGGGCUGGGUCUCUACGUCCUCUCCAGGGCAUGGCUCCAGUGACCUGACUCCCUCCCACGAGCCACACCUACUAAAAGUUUCACUGCCCCCAUCAGUAGCACCAGGCAGAGCCUUCCACACCUGGGCCUCAGGGAACCUGCCAGACCCAAAACUCAAGCAGUGUUUGUCACGGAGACCCGGCUUUCCAAAGGCUCUGGGACAUCGAUAUUCUCUCCAUCUCCUGCCAAGACCAGUUCUAAUUUAGCCCAAGGAUGAAGCUUAUGAAUCGCUAAGCACGGUGCACAUCUGUAAUCCCAGCACCCUGGAGGCUGAGGCAGGAGGUUACUGUGAGUUGGAGGCCAGCCUGAACUAUGGAGUGAGACCUUGUCUCAAAAUAAAACAAAACAAAAAACCCCCAGCAAAACAAACAAACAAAAGGAGCCACCAAGCAUGGCACUGAGGCAACUGUGUGAGCCAGACACAGGCGCUUCUGUCUGCACAGACCUCCAGCCCCCCAUUUCUGCCCAAAGACCAAAGCCAGCCGUCCGGAAUCAUUUCUCCCCAGAUAUCAGUGUACAACACUUCCCAGGGGUCACCGGCCCAUUUGGAGCACUUUCCUAGUCUUUCUGGUGACCAUCUCUCUUUUGCCUUCUUUUGACCUUUUCAAGAUGGUAAUUUGUUUUAGUUUCAAGGAAAUGGACUAACUUCAAAUUGUGUGAAUCAGAGGCCACUUGUUCAGAAAAGGCACAGGCGCCCCCUGGUGGGGACACACGCCCUUUCCGGCUCCCAGCAGAAGCUCUUCUGUGGCCAGAAAUCGUGGCCUGGAGCUCAGGGAAGGGAAGUCGAGAGUCCCCGGAAGACUGUGCGUCCAGCGAUCUGCUGUAUCACAGGGCUCCGUGGCGACAUCAUAGUAGGCCACGUUGGUGGCUGCUGGGUGUCACCAAACUGCGCUGGUCACAGCUGGAAAAAGGGCCUGGGGUCACCCGAUCAAAAUAAAGGCUCCUCCGAGAGAAA
This is a long non-coding RNA of Cavia porcellus (domestic guinea pig), 4322 nucleotides long. RefSeq lists it as uncharacterized. NCBI's taxonomy places the organism in Eukaryota, Metazoa, Chordata, Mammalia, Rodentia, Caviidae. The transcript is spliced from 2 exons. The record is from RefSeq and is a predicted model, not a curated record.